UACGUAGGGUGCGAGCGUUGUCCGGAAUUAUUGGGCGUAAAGAGCUCGUAGGCGGUGUGUCACGUCGGCCGUGAAAACCUGCAGCUUAACUGUGGGCGUGCGGUCGAUACGGGCAUCACUGGAGUUCGGCAGGGGAGACUGGAAUUCCUGGUGUAGCGGUGAAAUGCGCAGAUAUCAGGAGGAACACCAGUGGCGAAGGCGGUGCUCUGGGCCGGAACUGACGCUGAUGAGCGAAAGCGUGGGGAGCAAACAGG
Molecule: ribosomal RNA, 254 nt
Filed under: uncultured bacterium
Lineage: Bacteria
Description: partial 16S ribosomal RNA
Rfam family: Bacterial small subunit ribosomal RNA
Source: RNAcentral